This 74-nucleotide transfer RNA is filed under the name candidate division WOR-1 bacterium RIFCSPHIGHO2_02_FULL_45_12. RNAcentral's name for it is "tRNA-Met". It matches the Rfam family "tRNA". Rfam says of the family: Transfer RNA (tRNA) molecules are approximately 80 nucleotides in length. Their secondary structure includes four short double-helical elements and three loops (D, anti-codon, and T loops). The record is from RNAcentral. Lineage: Bacteria; Bacillati. RNAcentral also lists the same sequence under 2 other names.
GGCGGCAUAGCUCAGCUGGUUAGAGCAAACGGCUCAUACCCGUUGUGUCCCUGGUUCGAAUCCAGGUGCCGCCA